CCUACGGGCGGCUGCAGUGGGGAAUAUUGCACAAUGGGCGCAAGCCUGAUGCAGCCAUGCCGCGUGUGUGAAGAAGGCCUUCGGGUUGUAAAGCACCUUCAGCGGGGAGGAAGGCGGUGAGGUUAAUAACCUCAUCGAUUGACGUUACCCGCAGAAGAAGCACCGGCUAACUCCGUGCCAGCAGCUGCGGUAAUACGGAGGGUGCAAGCGUUAAUCGGAAUUACUGGGCGUAAAGCGCACGCAGGCGGUCUGUCAAGUCGGAUGUGAAAUCCCCGGGCUCAACCUGGGAACUGCAUUCGAAACUGGCAGGCUAGAGUCUUGUAGAGGGGGGUAGAAUUCCAGGUGUAGCGGUGAAAUGCGUAGAGAUCUGGAGGAAUACCGGUGGCGAAGGCGGCCCCCUGGACAAAGACUGACGCUCAGGUGCGAAAGCGUGGGGAGCAAACAGGAUUAGAUACCCCUGUAGUC
This 465-nucleotide ribosomal RNA is filed under the name uncultured Klebsiella sp. RNAcentral describes it as "bacterial SSU rRNA". It matches the Rfam family "Bacterial small subunit ribosomal RNA", at positions 338 to 795 of the family's 1533-position model. Lineage: Bacteria; Pseudomonadati; Pseudomonadota; Gammaproteobacteria; Enterobacterales; Enterobacteriaceae. The record is from RNAcentral.